Molecule: transfer RNA, 69 nt
Organism: Capsaspora owczarzaki ATCC 30864
Lineage: Eukaryota; Filasterea; Ministeriida; Capsasporidae
Rfam family: tRNA
About the family: Transfer RNA (tRNA) molecules are approximately 80 nucleotides in length.
Source: Rfam
GCAGUAGUAGCUCAGAGGUAGAGCACCAAAUUAGACUUGAAGCGCGUGGGUUCGAUUCCCACCUCUGCA